GAAAAGAAACUAACAAGGAUUCCCCUAGUAACGGCGAGUGAAGCGGGAAGAGCUCAAAUUUGAAAUCUGGUAGCCUUCGGUUGCCCGAGUUGUAAUCUAGAGAAGUGUUUUCCGUGCCGGCCCAUGUACAAGUCCCUUGGAACAGGGCGUCAUAGAGGGUGAGAAUCCCGUCCUUGACAUGGACCCCCGGUGCUUUGUGAUACACUUUCAACGAGUCGAGUUGUUUGGGAAUGCAGCUCAAAAUGGGUGGUGAAUUCCAUCUAAAGCUAAAUAUUGGCGAGAGACCGAUAGCGAACAAGUACCGUGAGGGAAAGAUGAAAAGCACUUUGGAAAGAGAGUUAAACAGUACGUGAAAUUGUUGAAAGGGAAACGAUUGAAGUCAGUCAUGCUCUUAGGAUUCAGCCGUUCUGCGGUGUAUUUCCUUUGAGUGGGGUCAACAUCAGUUUUGAUCGAUGGAUAAAGGCACGAGGAAGGUAGCACUCUCGGGUGAACUUAUAGCCUCGCGUCAUAUACAUUGAUUGGGACUGAGGAACGCAGCAUGCCUUUAUGGCCGGGAUUCGUCCACGUACAUGCUUAGG
RNAcentral lists this ribosomal RNA (578 nucleotides) under Naganishia adeliensis. Its description in RNAcentral is "partial large subunit ribosomal RNA". It matches the Rfam family "Eukaryotic large subunit ribosomal RNA", at positions 56 to 621 of the family's 3401-position model. Lineage: Eukaryota; Fungi; Basidiomycota; Tremellomycetes; Filobasidiales; Filobasidiaceae. The record is from RNAcentral.